This 267-nucleotide ribosomal RNA is filed under the name unidentified gamma proteobacterium groupD. Its description in RNAcentral is "partial 16S small subunit ribosomal RNA". It matches the Rfam family "Bacterial small subunit ribosomal RNA", at positions 1106 to 1373 of the family's 1533-position model. The record is from RNAcentral. Lineage: Bacteria; Pseudomonadati; Pseudomonadota; Gammaproteobacteria.
UAUCCUUAUUGCCAGCGCGUAGUGGCGGGAACUCUAAGGAGACUGCCGGUGAUAAACCGGAGGAAGGUGGGGACGACGUCAAGUCAUCAUGGACCUUACGGGAUGGGCUACACACGUGCUACAAUGGCAAGUACAGAGGGCAGCAAUACCGCGAGGUGGAGCGAAUCCCACAAAGCUUGUCGUAGUCCGGAUUGGAGUCUGCAACUCGACUCCAUGAAGUCGGAAUCGCUAGUAAUCGUAGAUCAGAAUGCUACGGUGAAUACGUUC